Molecule: ribosomal RNA, 389 nt
Filed under: Cathorops aguadulce (estuarine sea catfish)
Lineage: Eukaryota; Metazoa; Chordata; Actinopteri; Siluriformes; Ariidae
Description: partial 12S ribosomal RNA
Rfam family: Bacterial small subunit ribosomal RNA
Source: RNAcentral
UAUGCUUAGCCUUAAACCCAGAUGCACUCUUACACACCUACAUCCGCCAGGGUACUACAAGCACAGCUUAAAACCCAAAGGACUUGGCGGUGCCUCAAACCCACCUAGAGGAGCCUGUUCUAGAACCGAUACCCCUCGUUAAACCUCACCACUUCUUGUUUUUCCCGCCUAUAUACCGCCGUCGUCAGCUUACCCUGUGAAGGCCCAAUAGUAAGCAAAAUGGGUCUACCCAAAAACGUCAGGUCGAGGUGUAGCGUAUGAAGUGGAAAGAAAUGGGCUACAUUUUCUAUAACAGAAUACUUACGAACGGCACUCUGAAAACAUGCCCGAAGGUGGAUUUAGUAGUAAAAAACAAGCAGAAAGUCUUUUUGAAUUAGGCUCUGAGGCGC